RNAcentral lists this long non-coding RNA (622 nucleotides) under Panax ginseng (ginseng). RNAcentral's name for it is "long non-coding RNA (PGIN_LNC007165)". The record is from RNAcentral. Lineage: Eukaryota; Viridiplantae; Streptophyta; Magnoliopsida; Apiales; Araliaceae.
AUCAUUGAAUAAACAUUAAUUAGUGAAUUCCAAGUAAUGGUAUUUCUCUCAAGCAUUUCAUCAAACAUACAUUAUGCAAAAUCCAUUCCACUAAAAUUUGCAUAAGUUGAUGAAUUUAUUACCUGGGAAGGCGUCAAUUUGAAUACCCAAUUUGGCUAAGAACCUAUGGACUGACACAUCUUAGAUCUUCAGAAAUAUUUUCCGUGUAUGAGGUAUAAUUUCCAAGCACGGCAUUUUCAAAUAUGGACUCUGUCCAAGUCCAGCAUUUGGAAAUUGAACAACCUUGUAAACCUGAAAAACAAGCGACUGCCACCGUGCACUCUGUUAGGAAUCCUGUUAUGAGAGGAAUCAUAUUUUUUUGUAAGAUAUUAUUUUGGAAGUAGUCUUACUAUUUGUAGCAGGUAUAUUUAUUGCGUGAGAUUGUCCUAAUUAGAUUAGGAAAAGAGAAAUUGUGGGUACUCUGAUUAGACAGAGGUAGGACACAACCAAUAUGUUGUAACAUCCUAGAGUGAAGAGAGAGUGUAAUUGAGUCUUGGCUUGUUAUGUGAUCGAUGAUUUUUCAGCUUUUUUUGUGUGUAAAAAGUUGUACCAUGGAGAUUAAUAUAUUGAAAUUAAUUUUGUG